CUACGGAGGGUGCAAGCGUUAUCGGGAUUCAUUGGGUUUAAAGGGUGCGCAGGCGGACUUGUAAGUCAGUGGUGAAAUCCCGGGGCUCAACCUCGGAACUGCCAUUGAUACUGCAAGUCUUGAGUUUGGUUGAAGUGGGCGGAAUGUAGCAAGUAGCGGUGAAAUGCAUAGAUAUGCUACAGAACACCGAUCGCGAAGGCAGCUCACUAAACCAACACUGACGCUCAGGCACGAAAGCGUGGGGAGCGAACAGGAGUAGAAACCCCUGUAGUCC
RNAcentral lists this ribosomal RNA (274 nucleotides) under uncultured bacterium. RNAcentral's name for it is "partial 16S ribosomal RNA". It matches the Rfam family "Bacterial small subunit ribosomal RNA", at positions 523 to 796 of the family's 1533-position model. The record is from RNAcentral.